This 269-nucleotide ribosomal RNA is filed under the name uncultured prokaryote. RNAcentral describes it as "partial 16S ribosomal RNA". It matches the Rfam family "Bacterial small subunit ribosomal RNA", at positions 524 to 792 of the family's 1533-position model. The record is from RNAcentral.
UACGUAGGUGGCGAGCGUUGUCCGGAUUUACUGGGCGUAAAGGGAGCGUAGGCGGACUUUUAAGUGAGAUGUGAAAUACCCGGGCUCAACUUGGGUGCUGUAUUUCAAACUGGAAGUCUAGAGUGCAGGAGAGGAGAAUGGAAUUCCUAGUGUAGCGGUGAAAUGCGUAGAGAUUAGGAAGAACACCAGUGGCGAAGGCGAUUCUCUGGACUGUAACUGACGCUGAGGCUCGAAAGCGUGGGGAGCAAACAGGAUUAGAUACCCGCGUA